Regulatory RNA element from Azonexus hydrophilus, 117 nucleotides. It matches the Rfam family "ALIL pseudoknot". Lineage: Bacteria; Pseudomonadati; Pseudomonadota; Betaproteobacteria; Rhodocyclales; Azonexaceae. The record is from Rfam.
UGCGUUUUUCGCCCAGGCGGAGCUCGACCGCCGCUUCAAAUCGUGAAGGCCUUUAUCGACGAGCACCGGGAACGUUUCGGGGUCGAGCCAAUCUGUCAGCAAUUGCAGGUUGCCCCG